GACAUUCCUCCAAGAUUUUUCUCGUAUAUACGGAAGCUCAAGAAAAAUAAAAAAGAGUGGACAUCUACAUUUGCGUGACCUAUGAAGAAGAACCUAUGUCUGCUAUUUUCAGGGGGAGAUUACGCCAGUGUACUAUUUUUCCUUGUCAUGGUUUUUGUUCUAAUAAAUUUUUCUCUGACUAGGUUUUUAACGAGGUACUACGUAAUACAAAAUAAACAAUUAAAGAAAGGUGUUAGAAAAUUAGAUGAUUAUUCAUCUUGGACACUUGUCCUUUUUAUAUAUGGGUGAUAAUAUUUAUCUUAUAGUUCUGUCUUUUUUUCUUAGUCGGUUCAUAUAAACCGACUUUCAUGCCAUAUAUAAAGCUUGUCAUAAGACAAUAAAUAGAUGAAUAAGAAGGAAUCUGAUUAUCUCUAGCUCUCUCUCUCGUUUGUUCCUCUUUCUCCAAUCACAAAUUACAAAACAUAUCUUUAUAUAUAAAGAAGAGAUUGUUUCUCUCCUGUAAGGACACGUCGGAUGACAGGGUGGAAAUAGGAGCUCUAUGGUGUAGACACGUCGGAUCCGCACCGUUUCAUUAAACCUUCGCAGUGGGCUUCGUUACACGCUUCUUCUGCGGCCCAUCGACCACAAGCAUAUACGGAACCCUAAUCAAUCGAUACGUUCUUCUUCGUGUUCUUUGUGCGUCAAGGAGCUGACACGUGUCAAGUGAUACGCCCCAUUUCAUUUUUUUUCUUUUUCGGUCCAAUGAUGUCUUCUCUCUAUCUCUCACACCGUUGACUUCACACCUCCUCUGCAAACCCCAUAGAAACGCUUCCUUUCAACUUCACACCAUGCGAUAGAAAUGAAGUGGUGUGCUCGAAUCGAGAAUAGCAGUAGAGAAGAAUCAGAAAGCCAGUGGAGAUGCAGAGAAAUCAACCAUUUUCAUUAUUUCGGCAAAGAUUCACCGGAGAUAUAACCGUGGAAUCCUCAACGUCUCCAUUUGUGACUCUCUUAGGUUUUCUUUGAGAUAGAUGAAUCACCGGAUAACCAUGGAUUCUGGCCAGAAGCUUGAUGUGAUUCAUUCUCGGUGCAUAUGAAGUAUAAACGGCAACGAAGCAAAGAGAUAUGAGCAUCGGGGGAUUCAAGGGUGAGGUGGAUUUCAAUUAGUGAAGGGAACAUCCGGAGGAUGAGACAUGGGCCAUAGUCAUUCCGGAGAUAAACGUCUUGCCGUGGUGGAGCGUUAACGUAUAGAUCUGAAGGAGAGGCCAAGCGAAGCUUUUCUUUAGUCGAUAGAAUCAAAGUCUUUUGUCUUGGUAUAUGAGGGGAUUGUAAGAGUUGACUAGACUAAAUCAGUAGGCCAGAUAUGGGCUUUUGUCAUUACUUAAAAGUUUAUAAAAGACAAAAAUCAUUAUUA
This is a long non-coding RNA of Brassica napus (rape), 1390 nucleotides long. RefSeq lists it as uncharacterized. The record is from RefSeq and is a predicted model, not a curated record. NCBI's taxonomy places the organism in Eukaryota, Viridiplantae, Streptophyta, Magnoliopsida, Brassicales, Brassicaceae. The transcript is spliced from 2 exons.